AGAAUAUAUGUGGGGAAAUGAUUUCGUUUAUUGGAUGUCUCCUUGGGAACUUCAAUUAACAAGAAUUAAAGGAUGAGAAGUGCCCAGGAAGUCCUGGAACUGAGUCCUGGGGCAAGGUUCUGGAAGUUGGGACAAGAAGUUGGCAAGCUGAUGAUCCAUGAGAGCUGGUGUGUAGUUCCAGUCCAAAUCUGAAGGGUUGAGAACCAGGAGAGCCUAUGCUU
Molecule: long non-coding RNA, 221 nt
Filed under: Homo sapiens (human)
Lineage: Eukaryota; Metazoa; Chordata; Mammalia; Primates; Hominidae
Description: HSALNT0318907
Source: RNAcentral